Molecule: transfer-messenger RNA, 369 nt
Filed under: Rhizobium oryziradicis
Lineage: Bacteria; Pseudomonadati; Pseudomonadota; Alphaproteobacteria; Hyphomicrobiales; Rhizobiaceae
Description: Alphaproteobacteria transfer-messenger RNA
Rfam family: Alphaproteobacteria transfer-messenger RNA
About the family: Bacterial tmRNA, also known as 10Sa RNA or SsrA, is named for its dual tRNA and mRNA-like properties. Its role is to liberate the mRNA from a stalled ribosome.
Source: Rfam by way of RNAcentral
ACUCUUUUCAUUGCUCGUUAAAGCACCUAUAUACCCCUUGCCGGUGCUUGCAUCGGCUAUGGCAAUAAACUGUCGGUGUAAUAAACCUAUUGGACCCGGGGGCGGUACCCGGCGCCUCCACCAAAAACCGGCCAGUCGUUAUGACCGGCUUUUGAUGGGGGUGAAAUAGGAUCGACAAGGGCGUAAAGAUCGAACUUUUGCUCGGCAUGAUACCACCGUCAUCGGGUCACAAGUGUAGUUGCAAAUGACAACAACGCUCAGGGUUAUGCUGUAGCUGCCUAAUGGCGGUUCCGGAAAUCCGAACUUAAGUCCAUACGGUUAGCCCCGUAUGGCGGGGUCCGAAGGCACCUGGCAACAGAAGCCUUCACC